Molecule: unclassified non-coding RNA, 1016 nt
Filed under: Hevea brasiliensis (rubber tree)
Lineage: Eukaryota; Viridiplantae; Streptophyta; Magnoliopsida; Malpighiales; Euphorbiaceae
Source: RNAcentral
AAAAGGAGAACAAAUAUCGGUGCUAAAUCUUUACGUAGGCCUACCAAAUUUCAGUACCAUUAUUGCAGAGAUUGCUUCCUCACGAGUCAUUGCAUAGAUUUCUCACCAUUCAAAUCCAAGUUUGCCCUCCUCACCAAAAAUCCUAUGCACGAUUGUAGCUUCAGGAGCUAGCUGCAAAAGUGUCACAAUUAUGCAAAGUUUCAAGCAAGGAAUUUCACCAACCCACAGUUGCACCAAUAUAAUCCCGUAGACGACCCUCGAUAAGCCACACACCUACUACACUGAAUUCCCCCUCUCUGGCUCUUCAUCUUAAACCCCAAAUAGACACAGCAGACGAUGAUGCCACACUUCGGCGCCAACACCCGAACGUCUGCCUGGACCACUGGCUCCUUUCACGACCACCACAAAGCCACCACGCACAUGACCUUCUUCUGGGGCCACAAAACCAAAAUUCUUUUCAAGUGUUGGCCCGGUUCGAGCUCUGGCAUGUACGCUUUGGCGUUGAUCCUCGUCUUCACGCUCGCAUUGAUCGUGGAGUGGUUCAAAUAUUGCAGCAUCAUCAAGCCCGGGACAAAUAAGGUCGCUGCGGGUUUCUUUCGGACUGGGAUGCGCACGUUGCUUUCUGGACUUUCUUACAUGGUUAUGCUUGUGGUCAUGUCCUUUAACGGCGGCAUUUUUCUUGCUGCCGUCGGCGGGCACGCUGUUGGGUUCGUGUUUUUUGGUAAUCGGAUUUCUAAAAACUCCGAGAAGAAGCCAGAUCUCCCCUCCCAUUAACUUCAAGUGCUGAAUUUUGGCUGUGGCGAGUUUGAGUGCUAAAUCAUUCCUAAGCACUUGAAAUAUUAAAAAAAAAUCUUGUGUUUUCAAUUCAACAAGACUGGAAGUCACUAAUGUAUCUUUAUUUAAUUCAAUCUCAUAAAAUAUCAUACAUAACAUAGCUAUAUUUUCUGAUGAAAAGAAAAACUAACAAUAAACAUCAAUAAGAUAACAUAGGAUUUUGAAAUAUGUAUUGAACGAAU